CAGCUGGUUCGCUGUCAAUGCCGUUUUCGUGUCGGACUGUAGGUUAAUUUCCACGUGCAGUGCUGUCUAGAAUGUAACAAAUUAAUUGAUGCGGGAUUGAGGGCUGCGCCACCCGAACGGGGUAACCAACAGAACCUGCGGGCCCCUUAUGGUUAACGUAGGCGGGAGCACUGUGCCCCAGGUUUAUGUAGGACGGGGUGACGGGAAUAUACUACGGAGGUGUACUUCGUUUAAAACCAGGAGUCACGCUCCGAUUUUGUUUUGAAGACACGGACAGGUAGGAACGUACGGAGAGUAGCUGGUAAUCUUGAGGAAUACUUGUUGUAGCAACCCGUUCACUAGGGAGUACACCUAGGAACUGGAAUUACUCGGGGAAUUGGGAACUGGUCAGAGUAAUAGAGGUAACGGCUUGCACGUUUUAAUAAAGGGUUGAAAGAU
Molecule: long non-coding RNA, 438 nt
Organism: Photinus pyralis (common eastern firefly)
Lineage: Eukaryota; Metazoa; Arthropoda; Insecta; Coleoptera; Lampyridae
Exons: 2
Source: RefSeq, a predicted model, not a curated record